RNAcentral lists this ribosomal RNA (253 nucleotides) under uncultured bacterium. RNAcentral's name for it is "partial 16S ribosomal RNA". It matches the Rfam family "Bacterial small subunit ribosomal RNA", at positions 524 to 776 of the family's 1533-position model. The record is from RNAcentral.
UACGGGGGGGGCAAGCGUUGUUCGGAAUUACUGGGCGUAAAGGGCUCGUAGGCGGCCAACUAAGUCAGACGUGAAAUCCCUCGGCUUAACCGGGGAACUGCAUCUGAUACUGGAUGGCUUGAGUUCGGGAGAGGGAUGCGGAAUUCCAGGUGUAGCGGUGAAAUGCGUAGAUAUCUGGAGGAACAUCGGUGGCGAAGGCGACAUCCUGGACCGGUAUUGACGCUGAGGCGCGAAAGCCAGGGGAGCAAACGGG